UUUUUUAUUACUAUUUUUAGAGUAAGAGACAUUGUUAAGAGACAAUAGGAAAUAUGCACAUUAUUACUAGGACUUUGUAGUUACAGUAACUUUAUCUCCACUUCCACUCAUCUUCCUUUCUUUUUCUGAGCUAUGAUCCUUUACACAACUGCACACAAAUUCCGAGAUCUUAAAUCAAACUAACACUGGAACUGGAGAAGAUUUGUCCACUGUUUCGUAAUCACAGCAACAGUCCUCAACCAAAGCUUUGUAUUUUACCAUUUCCCUCUGUAUAUAUCAACAAUUUCAUCAAAAAGAUUCAGUUUUUAUAUUAUCUUCAAUCCAAAAACCAAAGCUUUGACCUUUUAACUCUUGUCAACACAAAACAAAGUUCAUCAAAUUCAGACACGAACAUGUAACUGAGAUCCUUUGUGUCCACAUUCCGUUAUAUCAGAUUGAAGCAAAAAGAUGGAGAGUAAAUAAUCACGAACCUGAAGUGAGAAACAGAGG
This 489-nucleotide long non-coding RNA is filed under the name Brassica rapa (field mustard). RNAcentral describes it as "long non-coding RNA (BRAP_LNC005628)". Lineage: Eukaryota; Viridiplantae; Streptophyta; Magnoliopsida; Brassicales; Brassicaceae. The record is from RNAcentral.